RNAcentral lists this long non-coding RNA (252 nucleotides) under Lathyrus oleraceus (garden pea). RNAcentral describes it as "Pisum sativum (pea) long non-coding RNA (PSAT_LNC015028)". Lineage: Eukaryota; Viridiplantae; Streptophyta; Magnoliopsida; Fabales; Fabaceae. The record is from RNAcentral.
UUUUCUUCAGCAACAUUGUUUCCUCUACCGCAAUUUAGUUACCGUUCCGUUUAGAGUUUCCAUUUUCCCUUUCCCUUUCCGUUUUUGAUUUAGCCAAAGUAGUAGUUUCGUACAGUGAGGAACUACUGCAAUUUAUUUAAUUUAGUUUAAGCAAUUAUUUCGAAGAGGCAGCAUCCUACCGACCGUGGAGGACUGCUCAAGUACUUCAAGAUUCGGCGUAUUCUAUUAAUCCAAUUUCCAGGUUUUUAUUCA